CUUCUAGAGAACCUUGGAUAACUGAUUGGUAGUUUAGUGUGUAAGUCACUACCCCAGUGAGGACAUGUUUGUUUACCAUGUUAUACCAACAUGUGUUGUAUUUUUCUUAAUGUUAAACACGAGCAGUAGAUUCAACAUGACUAACUGUUUCAUGCUAAAGUUAGUUGGAACUCAACUCACUGUACGUACUCUAACUCAGAUAACUCUGGUGCUGUUGCCUUAGAGCCACAGGCAGGAAAAUCAUUCUUUUCUUCAGAAAAUUGGAAAGCUGCUGGAGUAAUCUGGUGUUUAUGCUCAUUUGAUUCAUUUCGUGCCAGCUAGUGAAAGCCGAAAGGCAUGUCAAAUUUAAUUGUGCUGCUCCGUGCUGUCUCGAAGCAAGCAAUCCAGCCGUUGCGUUCAGUCAUUUGGAACAGGAAUCUAAUGGCUGUCAAUAGGUGGCUGUGAAUAAGUGACUGAAAUAAUGUCCACCAGGUAGCGCGAGUGUCUUCAGGGACGCUUAUCGGCCAUUUUGUUCCAAGACGCAGCAGAAAUGGGUUGUUGGUUGUGACGUUUCUCACGAUGAAAAUU
Molecule: long non-coding RNA, 567 nt
Organism: Daphnia pulex (common water flea)
Lineage: Eukaryota; Metazoa; Arthropoda; Branchiopoda; Diplostraca; Daphniidae
Exons: 4
Source: RefSeq, a predicted model, not a curated record